Molecule: ribosomal RNA, 456 nt
Filed under: Triticum aestivum (bread wheat)
Lineage: Eukaryota; Viridiplantae; Streptophyta; Magnoliopsida; Poales; Poaceae
Description: partial small subunit ribosomal RNA
Source: RNAcentral
AUGAAGGGGAACAGCAGUCGCGCCAGGCGGCAUGCCUCGUCCGAGCCGCAUGGUGGCCGACACAUCGGCGCUUUCAUGGUCGGUCCUGGGCGGUGCCUUGUCAGCGUCGUGGAUGGCUUGGGCAGCGCCUUGGCAUCCAAGAGGGGCGAAGUGGGCCGGCCAGCAUGCGUGGGGCGCAAAGGCCACGAGCAGGAAGGAGAUGCGCUGGAGGUGAUGGAGGAGGAAGUUGGAGGUGGCAUCAGCGUCCAUGGCGACGCCGCCACGGGACCCCCCUGCACACCUCAGCGUCCAUGGCAACGCCGCCAUGGGAACCCCCCUGCACACCUCGGCAUGCCUCGUCUGUGCCACAUGGUGGCCGAGAUGCGGCCGCCCAUGCUCUGCCGGCGCCGUCUCAUCCUCUUCAUCAAGAGGAGGCAUCUCUGCCGGACCACGCCUCCCCAGCCACCUCCUGGAUGA